GACGUAGGAUGCAAGCGUUGUCCGGAAUUAUUGGGCGUAAAGAGUUCGUAGGCGGUUAUUUAAGUCUGGUGUUAAAGACGGGAGCUUAACUCCCGCAUGGCACUGGAAACUGGAUGGCUAGAGUGUGGUAGAGGUCUCGGGGAUUCCAGGUGUAGCGGUGAAAUGCGUAGAUAUCUGGAGGAACACCGGUGGCGAAAGCGCGAGACUGGGCCAUAACUGACGCUGAGGAACGAAAGCCAGGGGAGCAAAAGGG
This 253-nucleotide ribosomal RNA is filed under the name uncultured bacterium. RNAcentral's name for it is "partial 16S ribosomal RNA". It matches the Rfam family "Bacterial small subunit ribosomal RNA", at positions 524 to 776 of the family's 1533-position model. The record is from RNAcentral.